Molecule: RNA transcript, 3753 nt
Organism: Phyllostomus discolor (pale spear-nosed bat)
Lineage: Eukaryota; Metazoa; Chordata; Mammalia; Chiroptera; Phyllostomidae
Gene: HPS3
Gene name: HPS3 biogenesis of lysosomal organelles complex 2 subunit 1
Exons: 17
Source: RefSeq, a predicted model, not a curated record
GCACUAGUUUGCGGAAGUGGUCCAGCGACUGCAGCCGGGCUCAGGUUGCUUGGGGGCCCGGCCUGCCCCGCAGCCGGUGGCCGGCAUGGUGCAGUUAUACAACUUGCACCCAUUCGGGUCUCAGCAGGUGGUGCCCUGCAAGCUCGAGCCCGAGCGGUUCUGCAGCGGGGACCCUGAUGCGCUAUUCGUGGCCGCAGGCUGCAAGGUGGAGGCGUUCGCGGUGGCCGGCCAGGAUCUGUGCCAGCCGAGAUGCGCCUUCUCGACGCUGGGCCGGGUGCUGCACCUGGCUUACAGCGCGGCUGGAGACUAUUUGGUAGCAAUUGAAGAGAAAAACAAAGCUACAUUUCUACGUGCUUAUGUGAACUGGAGAAGUAAAAGGACUGAAAACGCUCGAGUGUGUAUCCGAAUGGUUGGGCAUAAUGUGGAGCCACCCUUCCGAGAAACCUUCAGGGACCAGAUGACUAUUGUUGAAAUGCCACUGUCUGAGGCCCCCUUGUGCAUUUCCUGUUGUCCUGUGAGAGGAGACCUUCUUGUUGGCUGCACAAAUACGUUAGUCUUAUUUAGUUUGAAGUAUCAGGUGAUUAAUGAAGAAUUCUCAGUAUUGGAUUUUGAACGUUCUUUAAUUAUACACAUACAUAAUAUCACUCCUGUUGAAAUUUCUUUCUGUGUUGGAUAUGUGGCUGUCAUGUCAGACUUAGAAGUCUUACUCCUAAAACUGGAGUCAAACCCUAAAAAUGGAGAGAGUGUUCACUACCAUCCACAUAAUACCAACAUUCCAGUGAAACAGGCAGAAGGCAUCAGUAAUGAAACUUUGCAGCUCGAAUCAGAUGAUUUUGUUAUCUGCCAAAAGCCCAUGGAACUUCUUGGUGAAAAAAGUGAACAGUCUGGAGUAUCUGUUACACUGGAGUCAACAGGAUUAGAUGAUGAAAAAAUGAAAUAUUUCCAUGUUCAGUAUCUGCUCUAUAGACGUUUUGCUCCUGACAUUUCGUCCUAUGCCUUGUCUGAUGACGUUAAGUUGCAUUCACUUCAGCUGCUACCUAUAUACCAAACAGGUUCUCCUUCUUCUGAGAGAAUAAAUUUGCCUCAGGAAAAAGAGUUGCUGAGUCUCUUUUGUUUUUUCUCAUUACCUCAUGUGGGCUAUCUCUACCUGGUGGUCAAAUCGGUUGAAUUAAUGUCAGUUUACCAAUAUCCUGAGAAGUCUCAGCAGGCAGUGCUCACACCUCAAUUUUUGCAUGUCAUCACAAGUAACAACCUGCAGUGUUUCACCGUGCGGUGCAGUGCGGCAGCAGCUCGUGAGGAGGACCCAUAUGUGGACUCCACCCUGAAGGCUUGCCCACCUGUCAGUAUGGAUGUCUGUGCUUUAAGAAUUCAGCUUUUCAUAGGCUUGAAAGCCAUCUGUCACUUUAAAAACCACAUUGUACUUCUGACCAAGGCAGACCCUGAGGCCAUUCCAGAGAGGAGAGAGUCACCCAAGAGGCUUCUUUCUAGAAAAGGUCCCAGUGUUAAGCUGAAAACACCUCCUGUAGCUGAGGCUGGGUGGAAUUUGUAUAUUGUGAAUACAGUCUCACCAGUGCAACUAUACAGAGAAAUGGUAGACUACAGUAAUACCUACAAGACUACAAAAACCCAGAGCUGCAUCCACCUUCUUAGCGAGGCUCAUCUGUUAGUGAGAGCUGCCCUGAUGGAUGCUGGUCAGCUGGAACCUGGAGAAAAAGUGGAGCUUUUAGAAGCAUUUAAAGAAAGCUGUGGGCACCUUGGAGACUGCUAUAGCAGGCUUGACACCCAGCAUUCCCACCUCGCCUUGCCCUACUACAAGAUGUCUGGUUUGUCUAUGGCUGAGGUUUUGGCUCGAGUGGACUGGGCAGAAGAGGAUGGAUCACAGAAAUAUGAGAGGGGAUUGAUCUUUUACAUUAGUCAUUCGCUUUAUGAAAACCUGAAUGAAGAAUUAAGUGAAGAAUUAGCAGUAAAAGUGGUUAAGAUGUUUCAUGUGGCUGAGCCAAAGCAGCUGCCCCAUGUUCUCUGUAGUCCUUCUAUGAAGAAUAUUAAUCCUUUAACUGCCAUCAACUAUCUAAGGAAACUGGAUACUUCUGGGUUUUCAUCAAUCUUAGUGACAUUGACCAAAGCAGCAAUGGCUCUGAAAAUGGGAGAUCUUGACAUGUACAGAAAUGAAAUGAAAAGCCAUUCAGAGAUGAAGUUGGUAUGUGGAUUUAUUCUUGAACCUCGGCUAUUGAUUCAACAGAAGAAGGGACAGAUUUUCCCAACUGAGCUUGCAGUUCACUUGAAGGAGACUCAGCCUGGAUUGCUUGUGGCUUCAAUCCUGGGCUUACAGAAGAACAACAAAAUUGGAAUUGAAGAAGCAGAUUCCUUUUUUAAGGUGCUUUGUGGUAAAGAUGGAGAUACCAUUCCUCAGCUCUUAGUGGACUUUUGGGAAGCACAGCUGGUAGCAUGUCUCCCAGAUGUGCUGCUGCAGGAACUCUUUUUCAAACUCACAUCACAGUACAUCUGGAGAUUAUCAAAGAGGCAGCCCCCAGACACCGUACCGUUGAGAACAUCAAAGGAUCUGAUAAACGCCUGUAGUCAUUAUGGCUUAAUCUAUCCAUGGGUUAAUGUCUUAAUAUCAUCUGAUUCCUUAGCUGACUCACAUUACACAGAAGAUCUCUCCAAAUUACAGUCUCUUAUGUGUGGUCCUUCAUUUGACAUAGCUUCCAUUGUUCCAUUCUUGGAACCACUCUCAGAAGACACAGUUGCUGGCCUCAGCGUCCAGGUUCUGUGUCGGACGCGUCUGAAAGAGUAUGAGCAGUGCAUCGACACACUGCUAGAGAGGUGCCCAGAGGCCAUCAUUCCUUAUGCUAAUCACGAACUGAAAGAAGAGAAUCGGAUAGACUUUGUGGUGGAAAAAACUGCUUCCUGAACUUUGUCAGAGAAUAAAAUGUGGUGGAGAGAAGUACCAACUCUACUUGUCAUCAUUAAAGGAAACACUGUCAGUUGUUGCUGUGGAACUAGAACUACGGGAUUUCUUGAAUGUUCUUCCAGAAGAUGGCGCUGCAGCAUUUUUCUUGCCUUACCUUCUUUACUGCAGCCAAAAGAAAUCAUUGACUUGAAGGUGUCCUUUGAAACUCAGCACUAUAGCAUAUGAGACUGAAUUUUCAAAACUUGAAUGCAAGGUAAAAAUAAAGGAUUUUCACAUUGUAUAUGUACAUAUACUGCAGAUGCUUUCAGGUUGCUUACCCUUACCAUGGUAUUUCAUAAUUUAUUACCUGAAUCCAUUUGAUUGUCCAGAUAUAAAAAAGCUACAAGGCAUAAGAAUUUCCUCAAAGAAGGCAUAUAUUUUUAAAGGCAGACACUGACAUUUAUUUCAAGGAACAUCAGUUUACUGUUGUUGGGGACAUGACAGUCUUUUUAUCCCACAAACACAGAGAACAGUUUUGCAAGUUUGUGUGAAAAUGUCACUCCAAGUAGUCCAGAAUUUCUUGAUUUUUCCAGUUUUUUUCUAUUGGGUUGCUUUUUAAAACAAAUUUCCCACAAAAGAUUUCAGACUUUUUUGUUGUUGUUAUUACUUUUAAAACUCAUGCAGCAUUUCUCUCUGAAUCAAAGGAAGUAGAAAUUAUAAAACUGACUUUCUUGUCUGGCUAUUGACAUGAUUUGUUUGAAUGCAUGUUUUUCAGCCAAAACAUUAUUUCCACUUUUGUUGAUGUGUACUCUUGCUCUUUCAGCUAGAGUGUAUGUGAAAAUAAAAGAAUAUGUCAUUGUAUU